This 508-nucleotide long non-coding RNA is filed under the name Setaria viridis. RNAcentral describes it as "long non-coding RNA (SVIR_LNC007597)". Lineage: Eukaryota; Viridiplantae; Streptophyta; Magnoliopsida; Poales; Poaceae. The record is from RNAcentral.
UGGUCAUGAGCAUUAGGAAGCUAGCAUAAAGCAUCUGUAUCCUUUUCCUAUGGUUUCCUAAAGAUUCACGAGGUUUCGGCCACUUCAAUGUAUUUUAUUCAAGUUUGAGUUUCCUCUUUUACCAAAGGACACUUAGAGCUACUCAAGGUUUACAACAAGGUUCCUUAGUUUUCUACCUUUAAUGGACCCUACUUAUCACUGGAGUGUUUCUACCCCUCUUAAUGAAGUUUUGUGAAUUAAUGAUGAAAAUAAGGUUUGGUUCCAACUUAAUUACGUCCCAGUUAUUUGUAUUCACUUACUUGUUUAUUCAAGUUGCUCUUAACUUAUCUUGUAUAAUGUAUUAACUUAUGAACCCUAGGUGAUUACAACUCCUACACACUGCUCAAACUCAUAUCUAACACUACCCAUCAUGUUCAUUUGUUUUAACAACAUUAAGGAGCCUUAUUAGGAAGGUGUUGAUCAACCUAUGGCCGUUUCUUUUACUAAGUAAUCAUUUUAUGACUAAGCA